GACGAACGCUGGCGGCGUGCUUAACACAUGCAAGUCGAACGGAAAGGCCCUGCUUUUGUGGGGUGCUCUAGUGGCGAACGGGUGAGUAACACGUGAGUAACCUGCCCUUGACUUUGGGAUAACUUCAGGAAACUGGGGCUAAUACCGGAUAGGAGCUCCUGCUGCAUGUUGGGGGGUGGAAAGUUUCGGCGGUUGUGGAUGUACUCGGGGCUUAUGAGCUUGUUGGUGGGGUAGUGGCUUACCAAGGCAUUGACGGGUAGCCGGCCUGGGAAGGUGAACGGGGACAAUGGGACUGCGGGAGGGAGCAGACGGGAACCGGCGGCAAUAGUCGGGAGUCUGGCACAGUGAGCGGGAGCCAGAUGCAGCGGCGCUGCGUGCGUGAAGAUGGGUUUCGGGUUGUAAACCGGUUCCGGCGUAGACGAAGCGUGAGUGACGGUACUUGGUAAGAAAGCAACGGCUAACUACGUG
RNAcentral lists this ribosomal RNA (468 nucleotides) under uncultured bacterium. RNAcentral describes it as "partial 16S ribosomal RNA". It matches the Rfam family "Bacterial small subunit ribosomal RNA", at positions 28 to 507 of the family's 1533-position model. The record is from RNAcentral.